CAUAUAGUUCUGUACUCAUCUCAGUGCUGCAACUUCCUCUAUAUUAAUUGUGUUGACUUUGUCAUCAACCUUGUUCUGUCACUAAUUUGUUGACUUUUUCUAGCCAUAUGUUAGUGCACAUUUGUAUAUUCCAACUCCUAACUGGCUCCAGUACUCCAGUGGGCAGUGUUUCUGCUUGAAUAUGGAUUGGUAUGAAUGUGGAAAUUGUGUAUAUUUGGUUCUAUUGUGUAGCUG
Molecule: long non-coding RNA, 234 nt
Filed under: Sorghum bicolor (sorghum)
Lineage: Eukaryota; Viridiplantae; Streptophyta; Magnoliopsida; Poales; Poaceae
Description: long non-coding RNA (SBIC_LNC007005)
Source: RNAcentral